UUUCGACCUGAACUCAGACGUGAAUACCCGCU
RNAcentral lists this ribosomal RNA (32 nucleotides) under Pratylenchus bolivianus. RNAcentral describes it as "partial 28S ribosomal RNA". Lineage: Eukaryota; Metazoa; Nematoda; Chromadorea; Rhabditida; Pratylenchidae. The record is from RNAcentral.